Molecule: long non-coding RNA, 621 nt
Organism: Rosa rugosa (rugosa rose)
Lineage: Eukaryota; Viridiplantae; Streptophyta; Magnoliopsida; Rosales; Rosaceae
Exons: 3
Source: RefSeq, a predicted model, not a curated record
UUGGGUAUAGUAGUAACUGUACAGUCACAGCCCAAGUUCAAAUGUGUUGAAACGCUGCCGUCUUCUUCUUCACUGGCAUUGUAAUUUAGGGGUUUAGGGUUUCCGAGUUGAUUGGAGGAACCGGAACCCCGGACCAUUCCGGCACUCAAUAGUUGAGAAAUCCUUGCACGCCUGAUCUCCGAUUAUAAGAGUUGCGGACAUUCUCCUCCUCCUCCUCUUUGCCGUCAUUCAUCAUUGGAACAAAUCGGAAGAGAGGGCCUCUACUUCUCCUCCUUCCCUCUCUAUGAUCAUUGAACGGUUCAGGCAUCAAUCAUCCUCGUUAUACAGUUGAUAGAGCUUCCUGAUUCAAAAAGGGUUUCAAUGUCAAAGAGUCGAGCAAGAGUUAAAGAUAGGUUUAGCGCAUUACCUGAUGGAGUUGUUAGUAAAAUACUUUCCUGCCUUGAUAUACAAUCUGCUGUGAGGACCACCGUUUUGUCCCCGAGGUGGAACAAUUUAUGGACUUCUCUUUCCGACCUAUGGUUCCGCAAUGGAGAUUUCAUUGAUGAUCAUGCUUUCAUGACGUUUGUGGAUCGUGUUCUUUUCUUUCGUGACUCGUCAGACAUCAAAAAAUUCUAUCUUGAC